Pipra filicauda (Wire-tailed manakin) is the source of this 2541-nucleotide long non-coding RNA. RefSeq lists it as uncharacterized. NCBI's taxonomy places the organism in Eukaryota, Metazoa, Chordata, Aves, Passeriformes, Pipridae. The transcript is spliced from 2 exons. The record is from RefSeq and is a predicted model, not a curated record.
GGCACGGGGAGCGGGAGCGGCGGGACCGGGAGCAUCCUUCGCUCCCUCCAUCCCUCCCUCCCUGCACGCGCAGGGAUGCUCCCGCCAGGCUGGCACAGAACUUUUUGCUGGCUAACGCGGCUGGAGCUGAAGCUCCUUUCGCCUUCCCCAGGCUGAUGCUGCUCCCGUGUCCUGAGCAACAAACUGCAGCGGGUUGUUUUAUUGAUCCCAGACAGGAAUGACUUGCUCUCUAAACUACAACUUAAAGGAUGCUGCUUGCAUAACAAGUGGGAAGAGUUGGGAUCUUACAUACUAAUUAUCCGUCACCUUUUAGGCUCAGCAAAAGAGGGUUUGUGGGUUUUUUGCAAGGAGGGUUGAUAAAGCCGCCUGAUGUCUUGUAGCCACGUCUUCAUUUCCACUGGCUGGAUUAAUGUGGGCAAAGGAUUAAGAGCCAGCACGUCGAUGAGGCACCCGGAGGUGCAGGGAAGCAGGGGAACGUUCGGCUGGGGAGAGAAGUCAGUUUUUGUGUUUGUGCUGGCAUAUCCUCCCGUUUCCGUGGCUCAGUCCAGGACCUGCAUCCCAGCCGAUAAAUCCCUGAGGUGAGAGCAGGGACUGGUGUAAGGCUCCGGUUCUAACGCUCGUGCUGCUCCCAAGGUCCUUCCUGACACGUUGUCCAGCACGGUGGGCAGAGCUGCCCUCCCACCCGCCGUGGGGCCGGAGGUGCUGUGACCCAUCCCAGUGGCAUCGUGGCUGUGGGAGCCCCUUCCCCAGUCCCUCUGGCUCCCUGCAGCAGCUCCAGCCCGGCUGUGCAGGUGAUGCUCUGGCCGCACCGUGGCCGGUACCGAUCGUGGGCAGCGGGGGGGGUCUGCACUUGGGGCCAGCCGGGUGGUCCCUCCAGAAGCCUUUUCUGCUGCUUCCCUGGCCAGGACACUGGUUUUUAUUCUUUUCUGGACCCGAGGAGCUGCAUUUUUACCCCGCGUUUGUAAGUCCCUGAAAACUGCUGAAAUGGCUCUCGAAUAAUCCUUCCAAGUCACCUCCCCUCUUUAAUCUAAGACCAAAAGGACUUACUUUACAUGGCUAAUCCCUCUUUUACUUGCUGUACAGCCUCGUUUAGAGGUGUGCACACUGCUAAUUUUCCUCAAGCAGGCUGCUCUAGACAAGGGCUUCCACUGGCGUGCAGCAACCUCUCCCUCCUGUGCUGAACUCUGGGCAGAGCUGAAUCCCUCUGACAAGAUUUUACUUCAUUUCAGGAAGGGUCAAGUGAACGAACCCUUCUCAGGAAGCCACAGCAGACGCUGUUUAGUGUGUAUUUGUAAAUACCACUUCUUGGGAGGCUCCCAGGGUCUCCUGCCCCAGGUGCCCACAGCCUGGAGGCAGCACUUGUGUGGUGAGGGCUGCAGGGAGCCAGGGUGUGCCUGCAGGGAGCUGGAGUUGAAUGAUCCCGGCUAAACUCUGGGGAGCUGGAAGUUCUCCCAUCCAUACCUUUUGCAGUGAGUUGAGCUCUCUGUAGCCCAUCCAGCGUUCCCAGAAUGUUCAGCCUGUGCUGUUGUGCGCGGUGACAGGACGUGUGUUGGGAAUGUGAAUGACGGCGGGAGAGUAGCUCACCUUUGCCAGCAGCCUGGUGAUUUCAAAUUCACUCCCGUGUUACCCCAUCAGGGACAUCCAGAAAGCAGGGCUGAGCUCAUGAAAAAUUUCUACCACAGAUGCAAAACUUCAGAAUAAUUUUGUAGAUAUUCUGGUGCCAUGUGAUUUAUUUCCCUUGGGUUAAGGAGUUGGCUUUGUCUGACAGUUCUGUGUAGUUAACUGAAUUUAAAACACUCUUUAAAAAUCAGAGGUAAAGACAAGGCAGAGUGAAGGAAGGCUAUUAACCAUCCGAUAACUCGAUUGCCUUUUUCUUUGCUCUCGUGGUCUUUGUGAGUUCUAUUUGCUGGGCCAUGCUGGAGAUGGCUGAUCCCCAUCAGGGGCAGGGGUGGGCACAGCCCUGGUACUGUGCAGGCCCUGCCAGGGAAGCUGCUACUCCUUCGAAAUCCUCUUCUGGGUUUGAAAGUCCCUAACUCCUGCCAGGUCUCUUUUGAGGUGUGUUAGAUUAGAGCAAGUGUGGGGUUUCUUCCCCCUGUGGCCUGCAGUGCCCCCCUCCCCCCCGUGCCAGCAGUUGGCAGAGUCCCUUUGCUGCUGCUGCUGCCCUGGUGUUGAGCCCCGCGGUUCCCCAGAGGACGAGCCUCCCUUUGCAGAGGAUUUGGCGCGGGGGGAGGCGGAGCGGCGGCGAAGAGCGGCGAGGAGCGGCUGAAGGAGAUGGAGGCCGAGAUGGCGCUGUCAGCAGCGACAGCCUUGGAGGAGCCUCAGGAUUGCUCCCUGCAGUGAUCCCUGCUCCAGCCUUGGAAUACAGAGCAAAAACCCAGGGAAUGCUCCGUGCCUGCAGCUCUCCCGCUCUGGGCUGUGCCACCUCCACACAGCUUCUCCUGGGAAGUUCUCUGCAGCCCAGCACAGGAGGAUCCAGCUCUGCUCGCGGCCCUCUGCUCCUGGAGUCGUCGAGGAGCAGCUGCAACAAUUCCCCGAGUCCCA